GACGAACGCUGGCGGCGUGCUUAACACAUGCAAGUCGAACGGAAAGGCCCUGCUUUUGUGGGGUGCUCGAGUGGCGAACGGGUGAGUAACACGUGAGUAACCUUCCCUUGACUUUGGGAUAACUUCAGGAAACUGGGGCUAAUACCGGAUAGGAGCUCCUGCUGCAUGGUGUGGGUUGGAAAGUUUCGGCGGUUGGGGAUGGACUCGCGGCUUAUCAGCUUGUUGGUGGGGUAGUGGCUUACCAAGGCUUUGACGGGUAGCCGGCCUGAGAGGGUGACCGGCCACAUUGGGACUGAGAUACGGCCCAGACUCCUACGGGAGGCAGCAGUGGGGAAUAUUGAACAAUGGGCGGAAGCCUGAUGCAGCAACGCCGCGUGCGGGAUGACGGCCUUCGGGUUGUAAACCGCUUUCGCCUGUGACGAAGCGUGAGUGACGGUAAUGGGUAAAGAAGCACCGGCUAACUACGUG
RNAcentral lists this ribosomal RNA (468 nucleotides) under uncultured bacterium. Its description in RNAcentral is "partial 16S ribosomal RNA". It matches the Rfam family "Bacterial small subunit ribosomal RNA", at positions 28 to 507 of the family's 1533-position model. The record is from RNAcentral.